This 429-nucleotide ribosomal RNA is filed under the name Chloroflexota bacterium. RNAcentral describes it as "Chloroflexi bacterium partial 16S ribosomal RNA". It matches the Rfam family "Bacterial small subunit ribosomal RNA", at positions 355 to 776 of the family's 1533-position model. The record is from RNAcentral. Lineage: Bacteria; Bacillati; Chloroflexota.
UGGGGAAUAUUGCACAAUGGGCGCAAGCCUGAUGCAGCCAUGCCGCGUGUGUGAAGAAGGCCUUCGGGUUGUAAAGCACUUUCAGCGGGGAGGAAGGCGUUAAGGUUAAUAACCUUGGCGAUUGACGUUACCCGCAGAAGAAGCACCGGCUAACUCCGUGCCAGCAGCCGCGGUAAUACGGAGGGUGCAAGCGUUAAUCGGAAUUACUGGGCGUAAAGCGCACGCAGGCGGUCUGUCAAGUCGGAUGUGAAAUCCCCGGGCUCAACCUGGGAACUGCAUUCGAAACUGGCAGGCUAGAGUCUUGUAGAGGGGGGUAGAAUUCCAGGUGUAGCGGUGAAAUGCGUAGAGAUCUGGAGGAAUACCGGUGGGGAAGGCGGCCCCCUGGACAAAGACUGACGCUCAGGUGCGAAAGCGUGGGGAGCAAACAGG